This 636-nucleotide ribosomal RNA is filed under the name Triticum aestivum (bread wheat). RNAcentral describes it as "partial small subunit ribosomal RNA". Lineage: Eukaryota; Viridiplantae; Streptophyta; Magnoliopsida; Poales; Poaceae. The record is from RNAcentral.
AUGAUUUGGCAGACCGUCAACAGCAUCCCCCUGUCGAACGACCCAAACCGGCUGCUCUGGAGAUGGACGGCCAAUGGCAACUACUCGGCUCAGUCAUGCUACGCGGCCACCUUCGAAGGCUCAACGCGAUGCACUUCCUGGAAGCUCGUCUGGAAAACCUGGGCGCCGCCACGUGUGAAAUUCUUCCACUGGUUGGCUAACCAAGAUCGAUGCUGGACGGCGGAAAGAUUAGCCCGACGUGGCCUGCAACAUCACCCAAGGUGCCUCCUAUGUGAUCAAGCAGCAGAAUCCAUCCAGCACCUACUCCUGACCUGCCCCUUCGCUCGCCAAACAUGGCAUGCCACCCUGACUUGGCUGCGCAUGCCAACCCAGGCGCCGGUCCAGGAGCCCACUGUCAUGGCAUGGUGGCUGCGAGCGAACGAGCAAACACCGACGACGCAUCGCAAGGCCCUCAGGUCCAUCGCCUUGCUCGUCCCAUGGAUGAUCUGGAAACAUAGGAAUGAGUGCGUCUUUGACAAUGCGACACCCUCGAUUGAUUUGCUAGUAGAUAGAAUCAAAGAAGAGGCCCGCUGUUGGGCCAGUGCCGGAGCCCAGGGGCUAAGGGUUGUUCUGCCCACCUCCUGGGACGUGCAUUGA